AUUGAACGCUGGCGGCAGGCCUAACACAUGCAAGUCGAACGGUAACAGAAAGCAGCUUGCUGCUUUGCUGACGAGUGGCGGACGGGUGAGUAAUGUCUGGGAAACUGCCUGAUGGAGGGGGAUAACUACUGGAAACGGUAGCUAAUACCGCAUAACGUCGCAAGACCAAAGAGGGGGACCUUCGGGCCUCUUGCCAUCGGAUGUGCCCAGAUGGGAUUAGCUAGUAGGUGGGGUAAUGGCUCACCUAGACGACGAUCCCUAGCUGGUCUGAGAGGAUGACCAGCCACACUGGAACUGAUACACGGUCCAGACUCCUACGGGAGGCAGCAGUGGGGAAUAUUGCACAAUGGGCGCAAGCCUGAUGCAGCCAUGCCGCGUGUAUGAAGAAGGCCUUCGGGUUGUAAAGUACUUUCAGCGAGGAGGAAGGUGUUGAGGUUAAUAACCGCAGCAAUUGACGUUACUCGCAGAAGAAGCACCGGCUAACUCCGUGCCAGCAGCCGCGGUAA
RNAcentral lists this ribosomal RNA (506 nucleotides) under uncultured bacterium. RNAcentral describes it as "partial 16S ribosomal RNA". It matches the Rfam family "Bacterial small subunit ribosomal RNA", at positions 30 to 523 of the family's 1533-position model. The record is from RNAcentral.